Molecule: long non-coding RNA, 949 nt
Organism: Anguilla rostrata (American eel)
Lineage: Eukaryota; Metazoa; Chordata; Actinopteri; Anguilliformes; Anguillidae
Exons: 2
Source: RefSeq, a predicted model, not a curated record
AACAAUUUGCUGUUGAAUUGAUUACUUCGACUCAUCGUCAGUUCCAUAUAGGCUAAUCGUAAAAUGACAAGAAUAAAUAGAAUGAAAACUCGGACUUGCGUGAAAAUUUAAAUUCAUAUUGCAGUGGUACAGCCACCGUUUGCUUUCCUUCAAAGUUACUGAUAGUGGAGCAGCGAAGUGUAUCCUCUAGAUGCGAACCAUGCACCAUAAAUUAAUCCAUAGUCUUCCUGGUCUUUUUAUGGAAUUGAAGAAUCGCAGAGUAAAAUUAUGGCAGUCUGAAAAAGCAAAAGGGACGAUUACUAGAAUUAACCUGUUAUUUUACCCUGACAAAAAGUGCAGAAGGUGAUUUCCAGUUUGCUUUUACUGUAUCACCAAUGUAAAUUACACAGAACCACCGCAUACCUCACAUAACUGUAUCAAACGUUUUGAGUCAGUUAUAAUGGGCUAACAAAGAACAUCCGGAAGAAAAUAUUCAGUAACCGAAUUAAACCGUUUAAUGUUUAGGUACGUAAUAUACUGUCCGACCACGAAUGCUUAACAUUUUAUAAAACGAAUACUAAAGCAAGAAAACAACAGAAGAGCAAACGUUAUAAUCCUCGAUCUUAAUUUCUCAUCUGUUCCAAGACGCUGGCAGGCUAUAACCAAAAGUAGGCUACUGCGCCGCUUAACAUACAAGUUUGAAUUCAAGUUAUUAUUAUGAAAAUAAAUCGGUUUGCGGCUGCAGAUUUUUAAAAAUGGCGGUUGAAAUAAAAUACUGCGAGUAGUCGACCAAUCAGAAAUAUUCAGUGCUUGCGCCCCACCCCAAAAGUUCCGGUACUUUUGGAAAGUACUACCCCCAGAGCAGGGACUUUUUUUACCCUGGUCCCUGCGGUGGAAACGCACUGAGUUCCUCAAAAGGUUCCUAGUUCCUGGGGAAAGUUCCUGCGGUGGAAACGCGGCUUAAAAUGCA